UUCCGGUUGAUCCUGCCGGACCCGACUGCUAUCAGAGUGGGACUAAGCCAUGCGAGUCGACGUAGCAAUGCGUGGCGAACGGCUCAGUAACACGUAGUCAACAUGCCCAGGGGACGUGGAUAACCUCGGGAAACUGAGAAUAAACCACGAUAGGUCACGAUUUCUGGGAUGGAUCAUGGCCUAAAUCUACAUGGCCCCUGGAUUGGACUGCGGCCGAUCAGGCUGUUGGUGAGGUAAUGGCCCACCAAACCUAUAACCGGUACGGGCUCUGAGAGGAGAAGCCCGGAGAUGGGCACUGAGACAAGGGCCCAGGCCCUAUGGGGCGCAGCAGGCGCGAAACCUCUGCAAUAGGCGAAAGCCUGACAGGGUUACUCUGAGUGAUUUCCGCUAAGGGGAUCUUUUGGCACCUCUAAAAAUGGUGCAGAAUAAGGGGUGGGCAAGUCUGGUGUCAGCCGCCGCGGUAAUACCAGCACCCCGAGUGUCGGGACGAUUAUUGGGCCUAAAGCAUCCGUAGCCGGUUCUGCAAGUCUUCCGUUAAAUCCAGCUGCUCAACAGAUGGGCCGCGGAGGAUACUACAGAGCUAGGAGGCAGGAGAGGCAAGCGGUACUCAGUGGGUAGGGGUAAAAUCCGUUGAUCCAUUGAAGACCACCAGUGGCGAAGGCGGCUUGCCAGAAUGCGCUCGACGGUGAGGGAUGAAAGCUGGGGGAGCAAACCGGAUUAGAUACCCGGGUAGUCCCAG
Molecule: ribosomal RNA, 739 nt
Filed under: uncultured archaeon
Lineage: Archaea
Description: bacterial SSU rRNA
Rfam family: Archaeal small subunit ribosomal RNA
Source: RNAcentral